GAAAGGAGGGAUGGACAAAAGCUUGCCUUGCUUGGAAAUAUACUGUCAGAAACCAACCUUCGAUGCACUUUCAGGUAGGGUGUGGGUUUGGAAUCUCACUCUAAGGAACAGAAAGGACACAUAUCAAGGUUGAUACUGCUGUAAAGAUGACAACAUGACAAUAUUGACAUGAGGCACCUAUCAAACAGGAUCUGCAUUAUGUGUACACGUUUUUUGUAAAAUUGUGUUCUGGUAAGGUACUGCAUUGGAACCAUACUUUUAUCCUUAAGACUGCCAAAAUGAUGCACAACACAGUGAGAGAGGAACUUUUUACAAAUGUGUUAGAAGAAAAGAGAAUCUUUGACAAAAUGGAAGAAAUGAAGCCACCAGAAUUUCUCAUUGUGGUAUGGAAACUAGCAGAAACUUCAAUAGAUGCAGAUCCCUAAAUUCUCCCAGAAGAACUACUGAAGAGAAAUCAAGGUGUCGAGGCAGAAAGGAGGAAGAAAUUCUCCAUAUAACAGGCCCAGAGAUUUUGAUUAGCUACAGUACCUUCCCAGUGGAUAAGAUUUCAAAUUGUUAAAUAAUCUUUUAAGUGUUUCAAGAACAGUUAAAGUGAUGUCGUUGUUUAAUUAACACAAAAAUGAUUUUAGUGAAAUCAUAUUUUAUUUACCAGAUAACAGCAUGGUAAAACCUAGUCUUUUGUAUUUGAUUAGUUAACAAAUGGACACAAGAAUUAACCUGCUCAACGCUUUCUGAAUAAAAUAUUUCCAUCAAAUUAACUUUGUUUAUUUUUUGUAAAAAAUGGAUGCCUUUUUCACAAUUUUGUUGUUUCCCCCUAAAUUUUUCAUUAGUUUUUUUUAAUCAAGUGGUGUAUAGAAAAUUUUAUAAAAAUGGUUAGUAAAAAUUUUCAUUUACUGAAAACAGUAGAAAAUUUGAAAAAUUGAAAGAAGGGUGUUACGAAC
Long non-coding RNA from Alligator sinensis (Chinese alligator), 941 nucleotides. RefSeq lists it as uncharacterized. The transcript is spliced from 3 exons. The record is from RefSeq and is a predicted model, not a curated record. NCBI's taxonomy places the organism in Eukaryota, Metazoa, Chordata, Crocodylia, Alligatoridae.